Monodelphis domestica (gray short-tailed opossum) is the source of this 896-nucleotide long non-coding RNA. RefSeq lists it as uncharacterized. The record is from RefSeq and is a predicted model, not a curated record. Lineage: Eukaryota; Metazoa; Chordata; Mammalia; Didelphimorphia; Didelphidae.
UUACCCAACUGUCUUGGCAUUUUGGAACUGAUCCUGUGGUGAUAAGAAGAUCUCAAAGGCAGCUUGACAAAACCUGGGAAAUUCUCCAUUACAUUGCUAUGACAAAAUUCUUCUAGUGAACCAAAACAUCAAAGGAGAUUGCUGGUAGAAAAAUCUUUGCCAGCCCAACUGGUUUGCUGUGAGUUUAGAGAAGGCUGUGGAGAAUCUGAGCUGCUGUUUUCUACUACACAGCUAAGAAGAAAGACUAACGUACUCUUCUUUUGUGAGAUCUUCUGGAGAGGGGCUCAGGAGCUGGAGCUGGAAUAGGGAGACUGAACUGCAGGAUGUUAGGAAGAAGUUAAAGAGGAGAACAAAGAGAAGUCAAUUGGAGGACCGCAGCAGGGCAGAAUUGCAGAGGAGGGGAGGGAAGUGUUCUUCAGAAUGCUUUGCCCUUGGAAAGGUAUCCAUGUGAUCAAAAGCUUUUACAGUUACACUGAGUUCAGAGAAGUGAAGUCUAAUAGGUUAAGAGUCAGACACACACAGACACGGCUAAAAGCAUCUCCUUCAUAGUCUGCCUGUGCUUGAAGUUCUACCAUGAAAGAGUCAGUUCUCUGGACCUGGAAAAUUUUUCAUCUUACAGGAAUAAAGCCUCCUCUAAAUAAAAGAUCACCAAAUUUGGGAUUAAGGAAUCUGGACUCUUCCUGCCUCUCCUACUUGAUACUUGUGUGAUUUUUUAGCAAGUUGCUUGGUUAAUAAUUCCUCACAUUUUUUAACACUUUAAGAUUUUCAAUGGCCCAGUGGAUAAAGUGCCUGACCUGGAAUCAGGAAGAUCUAAGUUCAAAUCCAGUCUCAGACACUUACUAGCUGUGUGACUCUGUUUGCCUUAAUUUCCUCAUCUGUAAAAUGAGCUGGAAAUG